Long non-coding RNA from Cavia porcellus (domestic guinea pig), 1546 nucleotides. RefSeq lists it as uncharacterized. The record is from RefSeq and is a predicted model, not a curated record. Lineage: Eukaryota; Metazoa; Chordata; Mammalia; Rodentia; Caviidae. The transcript has 2 exons.
GGCGAGCGGCGGCGUCGGCGCUGCUGGGCUCGGACUCCUCCCGCUCCCGCGGCCCCGUGACCCCGUGACCCCGUGACCCCGUGACCCCGCAGGCUUCAGCUCCCGCGAGGUCUCCCCUCGCCCCGCGCGUGAGCGCCCCGCGCGUCUCUCUCCGCGUCUUCCCUCCCUGCCGUGCCCGCCCCGCAGCGCUGGCCUCGUCCCAUCCUCGGCCGGGAGCGGCAGGCUCCUCUUCGCCGCAGGAUCCAGACCCGGCCUGGAUCGCGUAGACGCGGCCGCGCGGAAGCCGUCAGUCAGGGCACGAGCUUCAGGGGCAGAAGCAGACUUUCAGUAAACACCCUGAGAAGCCCCACCACAGUACUGAGGGCACGGCGAGCCUGGCGCCACAUCUCACAGAUUCCAUUGCACUAAUAUGUGACCAAGAGGUUCGUCGUUAAAUGAUCUGGAGCAAAUGCUUAGAAAACGUUAUUCCGAACUGCUCAGUUCUCCAGCUGUGCUGGGGUCUACUUCAUCUCUGAGACUUCACUCCACCCACGAUACCCUUUGCCUGGACCCUGCAGCCUGGCUUUCCGGCCAUCUUUCUGUGUUUCCCCAUUUGAAGUAGCACAUCUUCCAGCACAUCUGAAGAAUGGGUGAAUGGGAAAUGAGUUUUCUGAGGCAAUGUUUGUCUGAAAACUAUCUUUAUUCUAGCUUCAUGAUUGGGUUAUGGUAAUUGAUAAUUUUAUUUGUAAUAUUCUUGGGGUGCAUAGAGAAUUCUAGGUUAUAAACCAUUUUUUUCUUUAUAGAAUUUAUUUUUCUCAGUUCUGGGGAUUAAACUCAGGGCUUUCAUACUUAGCUACAUCAACAGCCCUUUAUUUUUAAUUUCUGUUUUUGACAAACUCUCACUAAGUCACUAAAUUGCCUGGGCUGGGCUUGAACUUGUGAUCCUCCUGCCUCAGCCUCCCAGUGUCCUGGAAUUAAAGGCCUGGGCCACCAUGUCCAGCAGCCUUGGUCUUUUUGUCUCACAGCUUCCAUGUCUGCUAUUCAGAAAUCUUUCCCCAAAUGAAUAUAAAUAUUAUAUAUUGCAGACAUAGACCAUUUUUUAAAAAUCCAGGUACCAUUGUAACUCCAUGAUUUCUGGGGAUGUGGCCUGUGUUUUGUCCUGUCUGGAAGCUUUUGGAAUCUUUCAUGAGUCCUGAAGUUGUCUUCAAAAUAGCUGCCCAUACCAUCAGACAUAGUAAAAUCAAACAAAACAGAAUAGAACCAAUAAAAACAAAACAAUGAACACAGUAAAGGACUUCAAAACAAGAUAAUAGUAAAUCCAAAAUGGCUACCAUAAUAUACUUUGCAAUCUUUGAAAUAGUUGCCCAUGCCAUCGGAUAUAAUGAAAUCCAACAAAACAAAACAAUAAAAGGCAACCUAACAAAACAAUGAAAAUGAUACGGACCUCAGAACAAGACAAUAGGAAGUUAACAACAGCCUUCUAAUAGAUGCUGCAUUGUAUUGUUAUCCUCUGAAAAGCUGAUCGCACCACCCGCUUCAGGCCUGCAAAGUCAGUAAAACUCUAAAC